UACGGGGGGGGCAAGCGUUGUUCGGAAUUACUGGGCGUAAAGGGCUCGUAGGCGGCCAACUAAGUCGGACGUGAAAUCCCCAGGCUCAACCUGGGAACUGCGUCCGAUACUGGAUGGCUUGAAUUCGGGAGAGGGAUGCAGAAUUCCAGGUGUAGCGGUGAAAUGCGUAGAUAUCUGGAGGAAUACCGGUGGCGAAGGCGGCAUCCUGGGCCGACACUGACACUGAGGAGCGAAAGCCAGGGGAGCAAACGGG
This 253-nucleotide ribosomal RNA is filed under the name uncultured bacterium. RNAcentral describes it as "partial 16S ribosomal RNA". It matches the Rfam family "Bacterial small subunit ribosomal RNA", at positions 524 to 776 of the family's 1533-position model. The record is from RNAcentral.